UGAGGAAUUUUGCGCAAUGGGAGCAAUCCUGACGCAGCAACGCAGCGUGGGUGAUGAAGGCCUUCGGGUCGUAAAGCCCUGUCAGGUGGGAAGAAUGUCCCGGGACUGAACAGGUUCCGGGAGUGACGGUACCACCAGAGGAAGCACCGGCUAACUCCGUGCCAGCAGCCGCGGUAAUACGGAGGGUGCAAGCGUUAUUCGGAAUUACUGGGCGUAAAGCGCGUGUAGGCGGUCCUGCAAGUCUGAUGUGAAAGCCCCGGGCUUAACCCGGGAAGUGCAUUGGAAACUGUGGGACUUGAGUACUGGAGAGGAUGGUGGAAUUGCCGGUGUAGAGGUGAAAUUCGUAGAGAUCGGGAGGAAUAUCAGUGGCGAAGGCGCCCAUCUGGACGGUAACUGACACUGAGGUACGAAAGCGUGGGGAGCAAACA
RNAcentral lists this ribosomal RNA (428 nucleotides) under uncultured prokaryote. RNAcentral describes it as "bacterial SSU rRNA". It matches the Rfam family "Bacterial small subunit ribosomal RNA", at positions 355 to 774 of the family's 1533-position model. The record is from RNAcentral.